RNAcentral lists this unclassified non-coding RNA (345 nucleotides) under soil metagenome. RNAcentral describes it as "partial contains 5.8S ribosomal RNA, internal transcribed spacer 2, and large subunit ribosomal RNA". The stretch from base 1 to 119 matches the Rfam family "5.8S ribosomal RNA", at positions 35 to 154 of the family's 154-position model. The record is from RNAcentral.
GAUGAAGAACGCAGCGAAAUGCGAUACGUAAUGUGAAUUGCAAAUUCAGUGAAUCAUCGAGUCUUUGAACGCACAUUGCGCCCCCUGGUAUUCCGGGGGGCAUGCCUGUCCGAGCGUCAUUGCUGCCCUCAAGCACGGCUUGUGUGUUGGGCCCCGUCCUCCGAUCCCGGGGGACGGGCCCGAAAGGCAGCGGCGGCACCGCGUCCGGUCCUCGAGCGUAUGGGGCUCUGUCACCCGCUCUGUAGGCCCGGCCGGCGCUUGCCGAUCAACCCAAAUUUUUAUCCAGGUUGACCUCGGAUCAGGUAGGGAUACCCGCUGAACUUAAGCAUAUCAAUAAGCGGAGGA